RNAcentral lists this unclassified non-coding RNA (344 nucleotides) under Hevea brasiliensis (rubber tree). Lineage: Eukaryota; Viridiplantae; Streptophyta; Magnoliopsida; Malpighiales; Euphorbiaceae. The record is from RNAcentral.
ACCUUAGGCUGCUUCGGACGCCAACAGGCCCGCGCCUGCUAGAUCAUAACGAGACCACCGGCUUCUACGUCCCACACCCAAAAAGUUGAGAAUGCUUGGGAAGAAGAUAAGAGGGGAAAGGAGAGCCCCAAGCGUGGAAUCGGAAACCAAUUCCACAGAAGACUGGGCUUCAAGAGCAUGGAACCUACUCUCUAAACUCCGGGACCAAUCACCACUUGUGCAGUGCAUCACUAACUUCGUUUCCAUGGAUUUGAUGGCCAACACUCUCCUAUCAGCCGGUGCAUCGCCGGCUAUGAUUCACUCCAUUGAAGAAAUUCCUGACUUCACUCCUCAUGCUCGCUCCC